RNAcentral lists this ribosomal RNA (253 nucleotides) under uncultured bacterium. RNAcentral describes it as "partial 16S ribosomal RNA". It matches the Rfam family "Bacterial small subunit ribosomal RNA", at positions 524 to 776 of the family's 1533-position model. The record is from RNAcentral.
UACGAAGGGGGCUAGCGUUGCUCGGAAUCACUGGGCGUAAAGCGCACGUAGGCGGGUCUUUAAGUCAGGGGUGAAAUCCCGGAGCUCAACUCCGGAACUGCCUUUGAUACUGGAGAUCUUGAGUCCGGGAGAGGUGAGUGGAACUCCGAGUGUAGAGGUGAAAUUCGUAGAUAUUCGGAAGAACACCAGUGGCGAAGGCGGCUCACUGGCCCGGUACUGACGCUGAGGUGCGAAGGCGUGGGGAGCAAACAGG